RNAcentral lists this ribosomal RNA (253 nucleotides) under uncultured bacterium. Its description in RNAcentral is "partial 16S ribosomal RNA". It matches the Rfam family "Bacterial small subunit ribosomal RNA", at positions 524 to 776 of the family's 1533-position model. The record is from RNAcentral.
UACGUAGGGAGCAAGCGUUGUCCGGAAUCAUUGGGCGUAAAGCGCGCGUAGGCGGCCCGGUAAGUCCGCUGUGAAAGUCGGGGGCUCAACCCUCGAAUGCCGGUGGAUACUGUCGGGCUAGAGUGCGGAAGAGGCGAGUGGAAUUCCUGGUGUAGCGGUGAAAUGCGCAGAUAUCAGGAGGAACACCGAUUGCGAAGGCAGCUCGCUGGGACGUAACUGACGCUGAGACGCGAAAGCGUGGGGAGCAAACAGG